This 466-nucleotide ribosomal RNA is filed under the name uncultured bacterium. RNAcentral's name for it is "partial 16S ribosomal RNA". It matches the Rfam family "Bacterial small subunit ribosomal RNA", at positions 28 to 507 of the family's 1533-position model. The record is from RNAcentral.
GAUGAACGCUGGCGGCGUGCUUAACACAUGCAAGUCGAACGGAAAGGCCCAAGCUUGCUUGGGUACUCGAGUGGCGAACGGGUGAGUAACACGUGGGUGAUCUGCCCUGCACUUCGGGAUAAGCCUGGGAAACUGGUCUAAUACUGGAUAGGACCACUUCUUGGAUGUUGUGGUGGAAAGUUUUUUCGGUGUGGGAUGAGCUCGCGGCCUAUCAGCUUGUUGGUGGGGUAAUGGCCUACCAAGGCGUCGACGGGUAGCCGGCCUGGGAGGGUGUACGGCCACAUUGGGACUGAGAUACGGCCCAGACUCCUACGGGAGGCAGCAGUGGGGAAUAUUGCACAAUGGGCGCAAGCCUGAUGCAGCGACGCCGCGUGGGGGAUGACGGCCUUCGGGUUGUAAACUCCUUUCGCUAGGGACGAAGCGUUUUGUGACGGUACCUGGAGAAGAAGCACCGGCUAACUACGUG